This 61-nucleotide transfer RNA is filed under the name Urocitellus parryii (Arctic ground squirrel). RNAcentral describes it as "Spermophilus parryii (Arctic ground squirrel) tRNA". It matches the Rfam family "tRNA", at positions 6 to 65 of the family's 71-position model. From Rfam's summary of the family: Transfer RNA (tRNA) molecules are approximately 80 nucleotides in length. Their secondary structure includes four short double-helical elements and three loops (D, anti-codon, and T loops). RNAcentral also lists the same sequence under 2 other names. The record is from Rfam by way of RNAcentral. Lineage: Eukaryota; Metazoa; Chordata; Mammalia; Rodentia; Sciuridae.
UGGGUCUCAAUGGUAGAGAACUUGCCUAACAUGCAUAAGGCCCUGGGUUCAAAGCCCAGCA